Molecule: transfer RNA, 74 nt
Filed under: Ixodes scapularis (black-legged tick)
Lineage: Eukaryota; Metazoa; Arthropoda; Arachnida; Ixodida; Ixodidae
Rfam family: tRNA
About the family: Transfer RNA (tRNA) molecules are approximately 80 nucleotides in length. Their secondary structure includes four short double-helical elements and three loops (D, anti-codon, and T loops).
Source: Rfam by way of RNAcentral
GCCGGGAUGGUCUAAUCGAUUAACGCGUCGCCCCGGACAGGGGAACAUUGCGGGUUCGAUCCCCGCUCCUGGCC